Molecule: long non-coding RNA, 489 nt
Organism: Lynx canadensis (Canada lynx)
Lineage: Eukaryota; Metazoa; Chordata; Mammalia; Carnivora; Felidae
Exons: 3
Source: RefSeq, a predicted model, not a curated record
UCUCAAUCUGGAAAGGGAAAAAAAGAAGCCAGUGAAACUGGUUUUCCAUGGCCUAUGAUAACGCAUUUAUUUAUUUAUACCCCUACCUUUCCCCAAAAACACUUCUAGACAUUUACAGGGAUACACAGAACAAUGACGAUACAUUCGAAGUAGAUGGAAAAGAUAAAGGAAAAGUAAGAACAUCCUGACAUGAAGUCAGCACUGAGACCUACCGUGAACUUCCAAACCCUUGCUGUACAUAUGGUGACUUCUCAGCCCUCAAAGACCGGAGGAGGAUUUCACAAUGUGAUGGGAGUGAGCUACUGGGCCGGGCCCUCAUCAGAGGCCCCUCAGCUGUGCUGCUGUCAUGAAAGAAACAGAAAUGAAAUAUUUCCAUUUCUAAGGAGUGAUGUCAAAAACGAGUACUACCGCAUAAACGAUUUUCUGAAGGAAUUUCUACUGCCAGCCAGAAGUCUUUGCACUAAGAAAAGACAUGCAUUAAAUUCACAA